This is a long non-coding RNA of Triticum dicoccoides, 2193 nucleotides long. RefSeq lists it as uncharacterized. The transcript is spliced from 7 exons. Lineage: Eukaryota; Viridiplantae; Streptophyta; Magnoliopsida; Poales; Poaceae. The record is from RefSeq and is a predicted model, not a curated record.
CUCUCUCUCUCGCCCGACGCUGCCCACCACUCGUUCCCCAGUACUCGUCUCUCUCCCCGUCGAUGUGCCCUCUCGCCGGCAUCUUGCUCCGCACCGUCGCCUAGCUCACCACUCCCCACGCAUCGCCGCCUAGCUCACCGCUCCCAACGCGCCACCCUCUCAAACUCCGGCAAUGCACUGCUGGGCGAGCAUUAGAUGGAGAAAGCUGCCAUUUUUAUGCGCCGGCAACGCGCUGCUGGGCGAGGAGGAGGCGCGUGCUGGCGCUAGAUCUGAGUGCGUUGGCGCUCGAUCUGCUUUGUGGAGAGGCAUGAAGGAGGCGCUGAAGCGGAGCCGGAGCGGCGCCGGCGCGGGCGUGAAGACGGCGACAGUAGGAGCUGGAGCCCGAGCAGGUGGAGGUGGAGCCGCAUCUGGACCUUGUACUGCAUCAAGAUGGAUGGAGUAGAGAGCCUAGAGUAGGAAAGAGCCUUGGACAGGAGCCAUGGACAGCGCAUGACAGAGCCAUGGACAGUGCAGCAUCACAAACUUCAUUCCUGUAGAGCCUGAUGCAGCGCAGCAUCAGAACCUUGAUGGAAGGAGGCCAGGCCAUGAAGAGAAAAGCUCCUGCCCAUAUCGAUUCAAGAGGAGAGGAGGGCCAUGGAGGGAGAAGCCUGCUGCUGCAAUACCUACCUUGUCGUCCUCAUGGUGGGGUGUAGUUGAGGUCUGGGAGAUCCAUGUUCUCCAGGCAACUUCAAAGAACUUUCAAGAUUGUUUUAAAGAAGGGCUAUUGAAAAAAGAUGUGUGAGAGUAUUAGUGACUCUCAUGUGGGCUUGCCGCACUUUUCAGGUAGCAGAUGCAGAGGGAGUAAUGGGCGAGGAGAUGAACCUAGGCGAGCAAAAUUGAAAACUCUGGCUAAAGCAGCUCCUGCCCAGCGGCAAGGACUUCAGCGGCAGCAGCACCUGUGCGUGGGGAGGAACAGCCCCUGGGCGCGCGCAAGCAGCAGCUCGCCUCCACCAGCGGGCAGCAGCAGAGCACCAGCUCGCCUCCACCAGCGGCCGGCAGCAGAGCAGCAGCUCGCCUCCACCAGCGGGCAGCAGCAGAGCACCAGCUCGCCUCCACCAGCGGCCGGCAGCAGAGCAGCAGCUCGUCUCCACCACACCACCUGGGCGCGCGCGGGCCAGGAGGAGCCCUUGGCGUGGGAGAGGAGCGCGGGGGUGGAGAUGGAGGUGGAGGUGGAAGACGCUGAGGAAGAAGACGGACUGAUUCAAAGUUUGAACUAGGGGCAUAAAGGUUCAUUUGCCCAUUUUCACCUGGGAAGACGCGUGUAGAAGUUGAUGAGCAGUUGGUUGGUCCUGCUCCGGAACCACGGGGGGCAAGAGGAAGUAUAGCCCCGUCACCAUGGUCACCAACCGGAACGGAGUCAAGUACAGUAUGACGGCCAUCACCAAGGAGAGGACAAUGAAGGCGGGAGUCACCCUGGGGUCUUGCCAGCUAAACAGCGACUGCCAGGUCGCCGACCACUGUCUGCAUCGUGCCGGCGAUCCCCCUCAGUCGAUCAUACCUCACCUGCACAACAUCCUCCGGUUUGGACGUUGGGAAUGUGUCGAACUCCUCAUCAAGCUCGCCGGGGUACGCCAGAUCUGUGUACCACCACAGCACCGCAUUUAUGUGUGGCGGCUGCAACGUGCCGAACUCCUCGCUCAGCUCAUCCGCCCUGUCUAUCUGCGCUGUCGGUAGUUCCAUGCCCCGAUCAUGGUCAUGGAGAGGAACACGGUGGGCAGGAUCAGCUCCGGGCAGCACACCAGCUUCACGAAUACCACGUGCACCAGAAUCGUCUUCAGUGGCUUCUUCCACCUGCAUAUGUCGUCGAACCACUUCCCAACUGCCAGCACAUCGGAGAAGAGCGUGGUGAUCCUCAUUGCAUCGCCUGGUGCCGGAGGUAGUCCUGCAGCCUCACGGAGAUGGGGUUGGUGUGGUGCAUCUUGGGGAGCAUCGGUUUGCCGUACAUGGCCAGCAUUUUGGCCCACGACUUGCAGGUGAACCGGACAGCAAGGUGGAGCUCCCCGGUCUUAUUUGUUAGGAAUUAAUUAGAUAUAAUUAAUUAGAUAUAAUUAAUUGGGUGUUAGCCACCUUAUGCAACUAGUGCAUGUCAGUCGGUGGAACCAGUCUCACGUAAGAGUACGUGUAAGGUCGGUCUGGGUCGCUUCAUCCCACAAU